GCAAUCGUUGUUUCCAAAGUCCUUUUUAAAUUAAUAAUUUUAAUGUUAAUGGGAUUAGGGGAUAAGGUGUAGAGGUGAGUAUGUUAAAUAAGAUACCCUAUAGUCUUCUUAGCUAGGAGAUAUAAAGUAAAGGAAAAUUUCUGCUGUAGGAUUCUAUUUAAUUUGAUUAGGUAGUUGAUAGGGUAACGGCCUACCAAGCCAACGAUCAAAAGUCAAGUUUGAAAGAACCUCUGGCCACAUUGGGGAUGAAAUCUCCCAAGUAGUAAUAACACUACCAGCAGUCGAGAAUAUUAGUCAAUGCUCGUAAGAGUGAACUAGCUAACUGAAAUCAUAGAAUUUCUUAAAUUCAUGAUGUCGUAAGGGAAAAUAAUGAUAAUACCUUACUAUGAGUGUCGUCCAAAUCUGGUGCCAGAAGACUCGGUAAGACCAGAGACGCAAACGUUAAUCAUCAUAAACAGGCGUAAAGGGUUUGUAGGCAGCUUUUAUAAGAUUAUAUUAUUUUGAAAAAAAUAGUGUAAUCUAAAUUGAAAGCUAGAAUCAAAAAGAGGUUAUAGUGUAUAACGCCUAGAGGAGGGCUGAUAUCCAUAGAUCCUAGGCAGAAUACUCAGGGCGAAGGCCACUCUCCACUAAUGAUUGACGCUGAGAAACGAAGGUUAGGGUAGGAAAUAGGAUUAGAUACCCCGGUACUUCCCUUUCUGUAAACGAUGAAUGGGUAGUCAUUAGUUAAAUUAAAUAACUAGAGGCGAAGUUAACACAAUAACCAUUCCGCCUUGUGAGUACUACUGCAAAGUAGAAAACAAAAAAAUUAGUCGGUCUCGAAGCAAACGGAGUGAAGCAUGUUAUUUAAUACGAUAAUCCGCCUUUUUCCUUCCAGAACUUGCAUACAAACUAUAAAUUUUCUGUCCUAGAAAAGGAUUAGGA
RNAcentral lists this ribosomal RNA (921 nucleotides) under Ganoderma cupreum. RNAcentral's name for it is "partial small subunit ribosomal RNA". It matches the Rfam family "Bacterial small subunit ribosomal RNA", at positions 57 to 1035 of the family's 1533-position model. Lineage: Eukaryota; Fungi; Basidiomycota; Agaricomycetes; Polyporales; Polyporaceae. The record is from RNAcentral.